Molecule: long non-coding RNA, 2155 nt
Organism: Ornithodoros turicata
Lineage: Eukaryota; Metazoa; Arthropoda; Arachnida; Ixodida; Argasidae
Exons: 4
Source: RefSeq, a predicted model, not a curated record
CUCCUCCAUAGGUGGUGGGUAUAUGUCAGUGAGUUUCGCCCAUUCUACAUGCUCAUUUCGCUCGUAUAUUUCAUCCCCGCGUUGCAAUAUUUGUGUGCGUCAUGGGGUUGUGUCGCCAUGUGAAGGCAGGAGCGUGCAUACAUGUGUGGCUGCAAGUAAACGGCUUUCCUCAGGAAGAAUCCCGCCGCAGCGUCUGCUCUUUCGGAUACUUCGUACACUCCAGGGUGACUUUCGACGCUUGUACGAGCUAUUAUCCAUAUGAGCUGUCUUGAGGUGCUACUCUUCUUUGCCGUCGUUUGUCUCAACCGAAGAUAUUGGGCGGAAGCCAUCCACCAGCAAUGGCCGCAUAUGGACUCAGAGAGCGUCCCCUCGGCAUAGGAAAUCUGAUAGCCCUCAUCAUCAUAUGUAUUAUAGUGAUGGCCGUGUGCCUCUUGAUUUGCUACCUCCGCUGCAGGAGCAGACGGCUGCUCAGCAAUCCACCAUUACCGUCACAGCCUCCAGCCCAAUCAACAAGCAGUAUCAAGCUCCAUUUCAUAUCAUCAGUGUGAUCCAUGCAGAAAAGAAGGCUCAACAGUAUCAAGCUCCUUAUACAACAGCUUACAGCCCAAGUGUGAACAUGUUGGAACAACCUUCAGCGCCCCCACCUGCAUCACCACCGCCACCUUAGUCAGGCAGUGACAUCGACAUUCUUUGAAUCUGAGAAGAGACCAUCCCGAAACUCCAUCGCUCAGGGCUUUGUUGAAUCAAAGUGACCUGACUUGUACGACGAAAAAGAGGCCACGAAGGACUGUUCAUGUGCGCAAUCUCCACAGGGAAGUGCACACGUCAUCGCUAUAAAGUGGGGAUUUUAAGGCACUAAAAACGCACGUUUUAGGCACCGUAAAGGCACUCAAAAAGGCCCAAAAAGGCACGACUACCUUCACUACGAGAGAUGCCGCGCGCAUUGCUUGCUCUAUAUUACGGUAACGUACCACUCUAUCGCGUGCACUUCGGUCACAACUGCUGAUCAGAGAAAGUAUGCUUCUAAUAUAAAGUUUGAUGUGAUUCCCUUGCACUGCAAAGAUUCCGCAGAGCCAGCGAGAGAAAUAGGAAGCAAAAUAUUAUGGAGAUCUUGCCGUCCACAAAACCGCUCUGAUCGCAUGGCAAUCUUUAUUUUGGAAAUGAACUCAAGAGUGCUGUGGACGCAUCUUCUUAUUGAAGGUGUGAGGAAUAUAGAAAACAAACACCACUUCAAUGGGAUCCGAGCUGUGGCGUAUAGCCACGGGCAGGGGAGGAGGGGGCGGCAAGGGGCUCGAGCCCCUCCCCCCCCCCCCCCACCUACUUGCCGCAGGCCGACCCACGCAAAUCACAGGAGAAAAUAAUACAAAUAAAAUAAUAUACAUAUAAUGUGUUUGUAAGUGCCCAAAUAUCGCCACGCAGUACUGCAGUGCUGUUUCGACCGAAGGCCCAAUAAGGCCGAAAAGCUGUGCAGUACUGGCGUGGCUGAUCCCCCGGCUGAUCCCCCGACAAAGACUGAACUUUUUUUUUUUUUUGUGUGUGUGUGUGGGAGUGUAUGUGUAUAGCACAAUUUUAUUCAGUCAAAGGAAGGCUAAACAUAUUUAUGGAAACAAAAAAUAUUUUUUCAGGAGGCAUUAUGCGGUAUCUCAGGUGAAAGUUUCUGUGUUGAGACGUCACUUUUAUUUAAGAAAUAAAUUUUAUCUGUUGUAUCAGAGUUCAUGAACCAAGAAAAGGGCAUAAACGUACGUUGUCCAGCUGGCAGUGUGAGUUUUGGAAGCGUUCGGUUUUGACAAACCAUUCACUGGGUUGUAUAGUAAGUUUGGCCACGGUGUGGUUUGCGCAGGCUGCCAUCGUCAGCUGUGCAAAUAUGUCAUUGUUCAAUAUCGUCUGUAUCACGGUGGACGAGAAGCAAACGGUCCAUUUCUCCAUGUUAGCACACUGGUAUGGGAUGACAUCCAUUGUUUUAGAAGCCUAUAUGAAUUUCUGAAUUGUGAGAAAUGUCAAGCGGAUGAGAUCUAUCUCCAUUCUGCUCUUGCUAAUGAACCAGAGUGUGUGCUCCCUUUGAUCUGUUCUUUGAUACAUGUGGAUCAUUGGAUCAUGCGGGCAUAUUACUGCAUGUCAGAGUAUUUGAAGGAAAAAUAAAUUAUCUUCCACCUGU